CCUACGGGAGGCAGCAGUGGGGAAUAUUGGGCAAUGGGCGCAAGCCUGACCCAGCAACGCCGCGUGAAGGAAGAAGGCUUUCGGGUUGUAAACUUCUUUUGUCAGGGACGAAGCAAGUGACGGUACCCGACGAAUAAGCCACGGCUAACUACGUGCCAGCAGCCGCGGUAAUACGUAGGUGGCAAGCGUUAUCCGGAUUUACUGGGUGUAAAGGGCGUGUAGGCGGGACUGCAAGUCAGAUGUGAAAACCACGGGCUCAACCUGUGGCCUGCAUUUGAAACUGUAGUUCUUGAGUACUGGAGAGGCAGACGGAAUUCCUAGUGUAGCGGUGAAAUGCGUAGAUAUUAGGAGGAACACCAGUGGCGAAGGCGGUCUGCUGGACAGUAACUGACGCUGAGGCGCGAAAGCGUGGGGAGCAAACAGGAUUAGAUACCCGGGUAGUC
This 443-nucleotide ribosomal RNA is filed under the name uncultured bacterium. Its description in RNAcentral is "partial 16S ribosomal RNA". It matches the Rfam family "Bacterial small subunit ribosomal RNA", at positions 338 to 795 of the family's 1533-position model. The record is from RNAcentral.